AGACUCGCCGCCUUGCUGGUUCUGCUGUGCCUGUGCUCUGUGCCAAUGGCUAAAUGUCAGCUUUCAGGUAACUUUGCGGUGGCAUUGAAUGAAACCUCAAACACUGGAACAAAAACCUCAGUCCCUGGUUUGCCUGCAGCAAGUGGAGGCCAUGGAUCUGGGGGAGGAUCUGCAGGAAGAGGAAAUGCAGGUGGAAGAGGCAGACCAUUGAAAGGAUGGAAAGCUUUGAAAAGUGAGAUUUUUGAAGGUGAUGAGUCUGAAAUAAAAUAAGAUGCCCAGAAGAACCCACCCAGACCAAUCAUUUCCAAAACAGAACUAAAAGAAUGUCAUUUAAAGUAAAAUAAAGAUAAAGGCAG
This is a long non-coding RNA of Polypterus senegalus (gray bichir), 356 nucleotides long. RefSeq lists it as uncharacterized. NCBI's taxonomy places the organism in Eukaryota, Metazoa, Chordata, Cladistia, Polypteriformes, Polypteridae. The transcript has 4 exons. The record is from RefSeq and is a predicted model, not a curated record.